GGCUAGAGAAGAGGGACUUGACUGUUUAUUGUCUAGUCGGUGCACCUGGGCAGUCUUAGUUCUGUCCAGGCAACAGCGCUUCCUCUUCAGAUUCAGGAAAUAUCUCUUCCUGCUUUUUUGGUCAAAUGCCUUGUUUCUGGCUAAUUUCACAUCUCUUACCACAAGAAAAGAUAGCAAUGCUGCUGUUUCUCACAGAUUGCCAUGGCUUUUCUGAACCAAGAAACAACAGAACAAACAACUCUUGUCUGUUCCUAAUUGCAUUUAUUUGAUGCUGGCUGUACCCUUGCUCAUGAUGUUGCAUUCCCACGAUGUCUCGGUGAUGCCACAGUUCCUGUGCUCUGCUGAUGGCACCCACCAGUGCAAGUCGUACUCAGAGUGUGCAGGACUGUGAACGACGGUGUGUUUAUUGGUCAUGUUACAUUUACCAUUAGGAAUUUUACAGCAUCCACCUAGAACAACACAUCCUCCAGUCAUGUUUCGUCCAACUCUUUAAGGCCAUACUCAGCCCAUUUGUAGUGCUCUCUUCAACGUGCUUUCACGUUGACUGCCCUUCUGCCUCCUAGACAUGCCCCCCAGCAGGGAGGGUAGGGCAAGGGCCCGUGAACAGAGAGAGGAGAAUGGCCCCACUUUCAAGGCCUUCAGGUGCUACAGAGCAGAGGCUGUGCCACAGCUGGAACCUGGAUGGGCAAGAGCCAGGGCACAGCAAUGGACCCUCGCUAGCCUGGAGUCCCAAACUUUUCCUGUGUCUGACCAGUGAGUCAUCUAAAAUCAGGGUAUCAGUUCUAUUCUUCUGAACCAAGAGUGCGUGAUUCCAUAAUUAAAUGCCCUAUCAACUAUGGGCCCCCAAAUGAUGCCACAGAUGUGGUCCCAAAGCUCCUUGGGGUGUCUGGUCAACCCCUAGAAUAAGACAGAGGAUCAGAGAAUGCCUAAAGGGAAGGGCGAAGCACAUGAGUGUUCAGUCCCGAGCUUGGGUGUCUGCUGCUGAAUGGUUCUGCAGGCCCUGGCUAGUCCUAGGCACCACAGUCUUAGAAACUUUCAGUAAAGGCGCUUUAGAGUGUGGAGGCCCCUGCGGCUGUGGCCAGUAGGGGAGCCCAGCUUCCUAGCUGGGGGGGUCACGGGUGUUGAUGAGAUCAGGAAGGCGGGGACCUGCUCACAGCCUCAUUGCUCUCAGGGCCUUCUCCCUCGCUCCCUGUUCCUUAAAAGAUCUGCUAGGACACCAAGAAAGGAAAAAAAAAAGGGUGUGCUUGUGUUUUUGUUUAGUAGAGAAGUAUGACAUUGUAGGAACUGCCUCUGUCUUAAGAUCGGUCUUGACUAUUUGCUACAUGUAUGUCUUUGGCUGGGUUACCUGGUUACUUUAUCUAUAAAAUGGGCAUAAGAAUAACACACAUAAAACUCACAAGAUAUUAGCAUAGAUAAUAUGAGGUGAUGUAUGUAAAAAAUAUUUUGCCGAGUGGUAAGGAUUAUCCAAACAUAGGUUUGUGUUUUUUUAGGGUUGUGUUUUUAAAAAAAAGGAUUUGGGUUUUUUAAAUGUUUGCAUUUAAAACAGCCCAGCUGAGUUUUUUGAAUUCACUCUCUGUUGAGUUACAAUUCAGCAUUUAUGCUAUUACAUAAUUUGAAAUGUGUGUCCUGAGUCUAGUAAGAAGUACCAUGGCCCCUACUUUUGUUUCCCUUUACUCUUCUUGGACAGAUCCUUGACUUUGAAUCCCUUAUUCUGGUUUGCUCCAAGCAGUAACCUAUGUGUUUUAUUGUCCUUUAUGGAGAUAAAAUAUGUAUAUAUGAUCAAAUCUAUCAAUCUUGACAAUGAGACACACUCACCUAUAAAACCAAGGUAACUAAAAAGAAAUGAAUGAUGAGUGAGGGCACCCUGGGCACAGCCUCAAAUAUAGCCCUGAACCUGCAGCAGGCAGGAGAGAAGGAGUCCAAAGGACAGAGUUUUCAAGUCAGGGAAGGGGGGAAGCAGCCUCUAAGAUGGCCCGCAACAAUGUCCCCCCUCUUAAUAUUCACAACUUUGUUCAAUCCCCUCUCCUUGAGGGUGGACUAGUCUACUGGCUUGCCCCUAAUGAACAGAGUACAGAAAAGGGGAUGGAAUGUCACCUCUGUAAUUAGACUACCUAAGACCGAAACUUUUCUCUCUCUAAACUUGCUCCCUUUUGGGCUUUGAUAAGGCAAGCGGCCAUGUUGGAGAGGCCCGUGUGGCUAGGAACUGAGGACAGUCAACAGUCUGCAAGAAACGGAGUCCUACUGACAACCUGGAGGUGGUAAAUCCUCUGAUGGGACCCCAGUCCCAGUCAACACUUUGAGUACAGCCAUCUGAGGGACCCUCAAGUAGAAGACCCACCUAUGCAAGUCUGUGAGAAACUGCAGAGAAACAAAUAGGUGUUGCUUCAAGGUGCUAAUCAUUAUUCCUGGAGCUUAGAAAUAUUUCUAAGUUUAUUAGAAGAGUGAAAACUACAUUCUUACAUAGUCUAAUCAUGGAAUUAACAUCCCAUCUCUUUUUCUGCACUCUACUCAUUAGGAACAAGCCAGGAGGCCAGCCCACCUCAAGGGGAGGAGAUUAGACAAGGGUCUGAAUACUAAGAGGUGGGGACUACUGGAGGUGUUCAAGGUGUUAAUUUCCUAUGCAACAAUAGAUACUUAAUGCAUAAAAUAAAACCAAAAGUCUAAGAAUUUGUAAAUAUAAACUUUGAAAACAGUCCCCUACUCAAGAAGACUAGAUCCUUAUUAGCUGUAAAACAGUAUUCUGUUAUAAUAAAUGCUGUCACAAAUACAUUUAGAAAAUUAUCCCAGAAAUUCAUUUAAAAAAUAUUUCUAAGCUCCCAGAAUAAUCAUUUCUCGAUCAAAUAUAUCAACACAUCUAACACGAAUUCACUGUCUGCCUUCCAAACUGAUUCCCCUGCUCAACUCUCUUACUUCUGUCAGAGACAAUAUUAUUCUGAAUUCGCCUUAGAGAAUAUUCAUCUGUCCACUUUGCAGUUGAAGUGAACUGAAAUUCACAAGAGACUGAGCAACUCACCUAAAGCCACACCACUCAUUAAGGGAUUCAGGCAUCUCCUGGAAUGUCUGUAGCUCUGACAUCUUAAAAAUGAAAUUCCAUUAAGGACAAAUGAUGCAAGAUGGCUAAAGCUGACUACAGUGGACAUUAGCUUUAAUACUGUGAAGAUCAGUGGAAGCAUAUUAGUGCAGUACUCUGGAACCCACAGGAUAAAAAGACCCCAGCAUGGAUUCUCUCCACAUAUUCAUGUACCUGCUCUGUGAUGAGACUUAAAUAUCUAGGUUCAUAUGUUACUGCUUUCAUACGUUUUUGGUGUCUGCUGGAUGGAAUUCUCCAAAUAACUUCAAACUCACCAUGUCCAAAGUAUAAUUUAUUAUUUUUGCCAGGCAGAGUUUAAGGGGAACCAGUGGUGUCUUCAUGUAGGUGUAAUUGAGGAGAGCUGAAUAUAAAAAGUUCCAGUAAAGCGUUCUGGAAGCUUACUGACCUUUCCCUGGAAGGUAUAUUCCCCCAAAACAAAAUGAAGAUAUCCACAGGGUGGGCAGAGCUGAAGACGACACGUCCUGUGACUCGAGUUUUCCAGACAACGCUGUCUUCACACAGAUUUGCUGUCUUGGACGUAAGCUGCCCUCAAGUAAACAUACUGGAAAUCCCUUAUUCCUUCUUUAACUUGCUUUGCAGUUUUCCCACAGAUUCUUCUAUAAUAUGUGGUAUCAGAAUUGUUAUUCUGACUUACCCUGUAGCAAAUGCAGGCUAAUGCUGUAUUUAUGUUAUUUCUUACAGCCAUACCAUAACUGUAUGUUAAUUGUGGUUCUUUUUGUUUAUUCUGUAUUCUUAUCAUUAUUUUGUAUGAAAUAUGGUUCUUAGCAUUUUCUACGAAGCUCGUAACAGCCUGCAAUGUUAAUGAUUCACAUGACCGUGAUCAAAUCUCUUGAAGAAUAGUCGGUGUUAGCACGACUGCCUUUUCCUCGUUCCAUCUGAACGCUGGAAGUUCAGUACUAAAUAAACACUAGA
This is a long non-coding RNA of Manis pentadactyla (Chinese pangolin), 4003 nucleotides long. RefSeq lists it as uncharacterized. The record is from RefSeq and is a predicted model, not a curated record. The transcript is spliced from 4 exons. NCBI's taxonomy places the organism in Eukaryota, Metazoa, Chordata, Mammalia, Pholidota, Manidae.